GUGGGGAAUAUUGGACAAUGGGCGAAAGCCUGAUCCAGCCAUGCCGCGUGUGUGAAGAAGGUCUUCGGAUUGUAAAGCACUUUAAGUUGGGAGGAAGGGCAGUAAGUUAAUACCUUGCUGUUUUGACGUUACCGACAGAAUAAGCACCGGCUAACUUCGUGCCAGCAGCCGCGGUAAUACGAAGGGUGCAAGCGUUAAUCGGAAUUACUGGGCGUAAAGCGCGCGUAGGUGGUUUUGUAAGUUGGAUGGGAAAUCCCCGGGCUCAACCUGGGAACUGCCUCCAAAACUGCAUGACUAGAGUACGGUAGAGGGUAGUGGAAUUUCCUGUGUAGCGGUGAAAUGCGUAGAUAUAGGAAGGAACACCAGUGGCGAAGGCGACUACCUGGACUGAUACUGACACUGAGGUGCGAAAGCGUGGGGAGCAAACAGGAUUAGAAACCCCAGUAGUCC
This 450-nucleotide ribosomal RNA is filed under the name uncultured bacterium. Its description in RNAcentral is "partial 16S ribosomal RNA". It matches the Rfam family "Bacterial small subunit ribosomal RNA", at positions 354 to 796 of the family's 1533-position model. The record is from RNAcentral.